This is a long non-coding RNA of Mesocricetus auratus (golden hamster), 877 nucleotides long. RefSeq lists it as uncharacterized. The record is from RefSeq and is a predicted model, not a curated record. The transcript is spliced from 3 exons. Lineage: Eukaryota; Metazoa; Chordata; Mammalia; Rodentia; Cricetidae.
UUGUGAGCGUGCCAAGGCGGGUGAAUGGGGAGGCCUCUGAGCGCCGCGCCAUUGUGGGGCCGGGCCUGGCUGAAAGGCGGCUCCGGGCCGGGAAGGUGCGGAAAGAAUGGCUUUUUAUUGGAGUCCCGAACAAAAGGAAAAAAGGGUCCUGAAGAGAAACCCGGGCCUACUGUUGGCUGCUUAAGGACCGGACCGUCGGAGCGGUUGGUCUGUGACCCUCUCUGUAGCUGAUGCGGCUGGGAGCGGGAGCUUUGGUGAAGAGCCACCUGCAGAGGCGGCAAGGCUGGAGGCCCCAGUCUGCCUAUUUCUCCUUGGCUUCAGCGUUCAGAGACCCACAGGGGACUUCCUGGCCGCCUGCUCCCAACUCUAGGGCCUUGGAAGGACACAGUGUGAGUGGACACCGUUCAUGCCCCGCCUCUGCCCGGCUCUGUGCGGGAGAGGCUGGAUCCGAUGCCGGGACCGGCACUGGCAGCUAAAACCGACUGAGUGGAGAGUACACCAGCAAGCCCGAGCCCCGAGGACCUGACCAAGGCAGCGCCAGCCCCGGACUGGAAGGGCCAGCAUUCCUGACCGCUACCACCUGGGCGAGGAGCCAGGCCAGCACCGUGCAGAGUGAGGUCCAAUCAGAGGCAAGCAGACAUCCUGACAUACCUCCAGCUACAUCCAAUCAGGGGCAAGUGUAUAUUCUGACCUCGUCCCCGACUGUGAACCUCCCACCCACGUGUGAUCAAGCUCAUCCAGUGCAGAUGGGUCAAACAAGCUUGUUCCGGGAGGAACAAGUGGCUGGUUACCGACAGUAAACUAUAGUCUCCAGCAUUUCAAGAACUUUCUGUCCUUGGGCGAUCGGAGGCAUUUUGUUUCAUGGAUCUCUAAGGCA